AGUGAACGCUGGCGGUAGGCCUAACACAUGCAAGUCGAACGGCAGCACAGUAAGAGCUUGCUCUUACGGGUGGCGAGUGGCGGACGGGUGAGGAAUACAUCGGACUCUACUUUUUCGUGGGGGAUAACGUAAGGAAGCUUACGCUAAUACCGCAUACGACCUACGGGUGAAAGCAGGGGAUCUUUGGACCUUUCGGGGUUGAAUGAGCCGAUGUCGGGUUAGCUAGUUGGGGGGGUAAAGGCCCACCAAGGGGACGAUCCGUAGCUGGUCUGAGAGGAUGAUCAGCCACACUGGAACUGAGACACGGUCCAGACUCCUACGGGAGGCAGCAGUGGGGAAUAUUGGACAAUGGGCGCAAGCCUGAUCCAGCCAUACCGCGUGGGUGAAGAAGGCCUUCGGGUUGUAAAGCCCUUUUGUUGGGAAAGAAAAGCAGCAGGUUAAUACCCCGCUGUUCUGACGGUACCCAAAGAAUAAGCACCGGCUAACUUCGUG
Molecule: ribosomal RNA, 492 nt
Filed under: uncultured bacterium
Lineage: Bacteria
Description: partial 16S ribosomal RNA
Rfam family: Bacterial small subunit ribosomal RNA
Source: RNAcentral